GCCCGGGUGGCGGAAUGGUAGACGCUGGGGACUUAAAAUCCCCUGGCAGUAAUUGUCGUGCGAGUUCAAGUCUCGCCCCGGGCA
Molecule: transfer RNA, 84 nt
Filed under: Fibrobacter sp.
Lineage: Bacteria; Pseudomonadati; Fibrobacterota; Fibrobacteria; Fibrobacterales; Fibrobacteraceae
Description: tRNA-Leu
Rfam family: tRNA
About the family: Transfer RNA (tRNA) molecules are approximately 80 nucleotides in length. Their secondary structure includes four short double-helical elements and three loops (D, anti-codon, and T loops). Further hydrogen bonds mediate the characteristic L-shaped molecular structure. tRNAs have two regions of fundamental functional importance: the anti-codon, which is responsible for specific mRNA codon recognition, and the 3' end, to which the tRNAs corresponding amino acid is attached (by aminoacyl-tRNA synthetases). tRNAs cope with the degeneracy of the genetic code in two manners: having more than one tRNA (with a specific anti-codon) for a particular amino acid; and 'wobble' base-pairing, i.e. permitting non-standard base-pairing at the 3rd anti-codon position.
Source: RNAcentral